UCCCUGGAGGAUUAGUGGUUAGGCCACAGCGCUCUCACCGCUGCGGGCCGGGUUCGAUUCCCGGCCAGCGAA
This 72-nucleotide transfer RNA is filed under the name Pangasianodon gigas (Mekong giant catfish). RNAcentral's name for it is "tRNA-Glu". It matches the Rfam family "tRNA". From Rfam's summary of the family: Transfer RNA (tRNA) molecules are approximately 80 nucleotides in length. Their secondary structure includes four short double-helical elements and three loops (D, anti-codon, and T loops). Further hydrogen bonds mediate the characteristic L-shaped molecular structure. tRNAs have two regions of fundamental functional importance: the anti-codon, which is responsible for specific mRNA codon recognition, and the 3' end, to which the tRNAs corresponding amino acid is attached (by aminoacyl-tRNA synthetases). tRNAs cope with the degeneracy of the genetic code in two manners: having more than one tRNA (with a specific anti-codon) for a particular amino acid; and 'wobble' base-pairing, i.e. permitting non-standard base-pairing at the 3rd anti-codon position. Lineage: Eukaryota; Metazoa; Chordata; Actinopteri; Siluriformes; Pangasiidae. The record is from RNAcentral.